ACAAUGGAGAGUUUGAUCCUGGCUCAGGAUGAACGCAAGGGAGGCCUAACACAUGCAAGCCGAGCGGUAGAGUGUCUUCGGAUACUUGAGAGCGGCGUACGGUGCGGAACACGUGUGCAACCUGCCUUUAUCUGAGGGAUAGCCUUUCGAAAGGAAGAUUAAUACCUCAUAAUAUACUGAUUGGCAUCAAUUAGUAUUGAAAGCCCGGCGGAUAGAGAUGGGCACGCGCAAGAUUAGAUAGUUGGUGAGGUAACGGCUCACCAAGUCAAUGAUCUUUAGGGGCCUGAGAGGGUGAUCCCCACACUGGUACUGAGACACGGACCAGACUCCUACGGGAGGCAGCAGUGAGGAAUAUUGGACAAUGGGUGCAAGCCUGAUCCAGCCAUCCUGGCGUGAAGGACGACGGCCCUAUGGGUUGUAAACUUUUGUACAGGGAUAAACCUACUCGUGAGGGUAGCUGAAGGUAUUGUACGAAUAAGCACCGGCUAACUCAGCCAGCAGCCGCGGUAAUACGGAGGGUGCAAGCGUUAUCCGGAUUUGCUGGGUUUAAAGGGUCCGCAGGCGGGCUAGUAAGUCAGUGGUGAAAGUUUGCAGUUUAACUGCCAGAACUGCCGUUGAUACGCUAGUCUUGAGUAUAGUUGAGGUAGCUGAAUGAGUAGUGUAGCGGUGAAAUGCAUAGAUAUUACUCAGAACACCGGAUUGCGAAGGCAGGUUACCAAGUUAUAACUGACGCUGAGGACGAAAGGUGGGGGAGCGAACAGAAUAGAUACCCCAGAAGUCCACGCCGUAAACGAUGCUAACUCGUUUUUGGGCUAUAUGGUUCAGAGACUAAGCUUAGUGAUAAGUUAGCCACCUGGGGAGUACGACCGCAAGGUUGAAACUCAAAGGAAUUGAUCUGGGCCCGCACAAGCGGUGGAUCAUGUGGUUGACUGAUGAUACGCGAGGAACCUACCAAGGCUUAAAUGGGAAUUGAUAGCUGUAGAAAUACGGUUUUCUUUCUGGACAAUUUUCAAGGUGUUGAUGGUUGUCGUCAGCUUCUCGUGCCGUGAGGUGUUAGGUUAAGUCCCGCAACGAGCGCACCCCUGUCACUAGUUGCCAUCAUUAAGUUGGGGACUCUAGUGAGACUGCUCACGCAAGUAGCGAGGAAGGUGGGGAUGACGUCAAAUCAUCACGGUCUUACGCCUUGGGCCACACACGUGAUACAAUGGCCGGUACAGAGGGCAGCUACACUGCGAAGUGAUGCAAUCUCGAAAGCCGGUCUCGUUCGAUUGAGUCUGCAACUCGACUCUAUGAAGCUGGAAUCGCUAGUAAUCGCGCAUCAGCCAUGGCGGCGAAUACGUUCCGGGCCUUGGUAAUACCGCCCGUCAAGCCAUGGAAGCUGGGGGUACCUGAAGUCGGUGACCGUAAAGGAGCUGCCUAGGGUAAAAACUAGUAACUAGGGCUGUCAACAAAGGUAGCCGUACCGGAAGGUGCGGCUGGAACAUCUCAUUU
Molecule: ribosomal RNA, 1491 nt
Filed under: Riemerella anatipestifer
Lineage: Bacteria; Pseudomonadati; Bacteroidota; Flavobacteriia; Flavobacteriales; Weeksellaceae
Description: bacterial SSU rRNA
Rfam family: Bacterial small subunit ribosomal RNA
Source: RNAcentral